GUCCCAUUCGUCUAGUGGUCUAGGACAUCGCUCUUUCACGGCGGUAACAGGAGUUCGAAACUCCUAUGGGGCA
This 73-nucleotide transfer RNA is filed under the name Candidatus Portiera aleyrodidarum (primary endosymbiont of Bemisia tabaci). RNAcentral's name for it is "tRNA-Glu". It matches the Rfam family "tRNA". From Rfam's summary of the family: Transfer RNA (tRNA) molecules are approximately 80 nucleotides in length. Their secondary structure includes four short double-helical elements and three loops (D, anti-codon, and T loops). Further hydrogen bonds mediate the characteristic L-shaped molecular structure. tRNAs have two regions of fundamental functional importance: the anti-codon, which is responsible for specific mRNA codon recognition, and the 3' end, to which the tRNAs corresponding amino acid is attached (by aminoacyl-tRNA synthetases). tRNAs cope with the degeneracy of the genetic code in two manners: having more than one tRNA (with a specific anti-codon) for a particular amino acid; and 'wobble' base-pairing, i.e. permitting non-standard base-pairing at the 3rd anti-codon position. The record is from RNAcentral. Lineage: Bacteria; Pseudomonadati; Pseudomonadota; Gammaproteobacteria; Johnevansiales (SeqCode); Johnevansiaceae (SeqCode).